This 10804-nucleotide long non-coding RNA is filed under the name Eutrema salsugineum. Its description in RNAcentral is "long non-coding RNA (ESAL_LNC002090)". Lineage: Eukaryota; Viridiplantae; Streptophyta; Magnoliopsida; Brassicales; Brassicaceae. The record is from RNAcentral.
AUCCCUCAUCAAAUGCCUCGUUACUUUGGAAAAGGACCAAGCCACCACAUAAUGUCACUAGAUACAACUUAACCUCAUUCGCCAUUACCCUGAACGAGCUCACACCUGGUUUGCAGGUAUAAUAAUAUUGGUGUUAUUAUCAUUAUGUAUGGUGGAUUCCUGUUUCUUCUAGACUUGCUAUGUGUGUAAUUUCUGAUCUUGUGUUAUAAAAUUUUGAUCAUGGAUUUAGGAGAUACUUCCUCCUACAGACUCUAGGCUCAGACCAGAUCAACGGCAUCUCGAGAAUGGUGAAUAUGAGAAGGCUAACUUAGAGAAACAACGGUUAGAAAGAAGACAAAGAAUGGUACACAUAACCUUAACGUACUUAUGGUCCAUGAAAAUUUGUCUGGAGUUUUGCAUGAAUUUUACUAUUUAGUCUGUUACAUUUAUGAGAAUUUUCAUCAUUAUAUGGUGAAGUCAUGAUGUUUUAAGAUCUCUAGAUUGCUUGCUUGGUUUCUUUGCAGUCACGGCAACUUCAGGAAAGUGGGUGGAGACCGAGAUGGUUUGAGAAACAAGGAGAAAGCGAAACCUUCAAGUACACGGGAGGUUACUGGGAAGCACGAGGACACAGGAAUUGGGAUGAUUGCCCCGACAUCUUCGGGGAGUUCAAAGAAGAGUUAGUGGAUUCUGCUUAAGAUAAAAAAAGCUUCUCUGUUUCAUUUCCAGGUAAUAUACUCAUCCUACCAGAUCUUGUACCUGCUCAAGAAUAUAUCUCCCUUGUAGCUUUUAAACAAAGAACUUCAGAGUUUUGAUUGGUUGUUUCGUUUCUUUGCAUAGAAUCUGCUUAAGUGAAGAUUUUCAUCCGGACGACAUUGGAGUUGUGUUACACAGAAGAAAACGUCCCUCGACAUAAAUCAAAAGCCAUUUUCUUCAGUUUUGUGCUUGAAAGUGGGCAUAGAACAAGAUCAGAAGAAAGGCUUUGGUUAUACUUUUUGCAAAGGAUAUGUAAUCUUAUCUCCUAAAGAUGUCCUCCUUUUGGUAGUAGAGUGUCUCUGUAAAGUCUUAUCUCCUUAUCUCUCUUUAUCUCUGUCUCUUUCACUCUGUAUCCUUCUCGUUAAAUAGUUGAGAUUAAUGUAGGUUGGUCAAUACAUUUGGACAAGUUCAUUGUGAUCCAUUUGUAUUUAAUUAAAAAAACAUAUAUAUGUGAGGAAUAAAUAAAUUUAGGCAAAGACUCUUUUCCUUCAAAUCUAGAUUCCAGAGUUGCUACUUUGAUUAACAAAUUUUUUUUUUUUUUUUUGUGUGUUGCCGCUUUUAUAAACCGAAGAGUCUCAUAAAAAGGUAAACCAAAAAUGGAUUUAAACCGAAACCAAAUCGAAAACCAAUUAGCCGACCAAAAUAUCCGUCAAAGUCAAACUCUCCUCUGUUAGGAUAAGCUCAUAUGCAGAAUUUCAAUUUGAAUUGAGAGGAGGAAGAAGAAGCGAUCGCAAAACCAAAAAUGUCAGGAGUUUACGAUAAUCAAGCUGAUAUCUACUUAGACGCACGCCCUACUUAUCCCGCCGAUUGGUACUCCAAGCUCGCCGCUCUCUCUCACCGUCACCAUCUCGCCUGGGACGCCGGAACCGGCAACGGCCAAGCAGCAAUCGGGGUCCGUAUUUUCUCCUUUCUCCUUCUCUUUCAAUUUUUUUCUAAAUUUGAUUUUAACAAUGCCAAUCUCUGAUCUUGUAACGAUUUCGGCUUAGAUCGCUGAGCACUACGAUAGAGUCGUCGCGACGGACGUGAGCGAGACGAUGUUAAAUCUGGGGAAACCGCAUCUGAAAGUAACUUACCACCACACGCCACCGUCGAUGACCGACGACGAAAUGGUGAAUCUGAUCGGAGGAGAGAACUCCGUCGAUCUGAUAACGGUGGCGACCGCCGUGCACUGGUUCGAUCUCCCGAGAUUCUACGCAAUCGCGAAUCGUCUCCUCCGUAAACCAGGAGGGAUCAUCGCCGUGUGGAGCUACAACACAGACAUGGUGGUGAGCCCUGAGUUCGACUCGGUGAUGACUCGGUUCAACGAAAAAACGACGCCGUAUUAUAAAUUCCCCGAGUGCCACUACUUUUUGGAUGGAUACAAAACGUUGCCGUUUCCGUUCGAGAAUGUGGGCCUGGGCUCAGAGGGAAAGCCCAUGGAGCUGGAGAUGAAGAAAACGGUGUCGUUUGAAGGAUUCUUGCGGAUGUUGAGAUCAUGGUCUGCCGUCGGUGCCGCGAAGGACAAAGGAGUCGACUUAUUGUCGGAAAAUGUAGUGAAAGAGCUCGAAACGGCUUGGGGUGGAUCCGAGCUGGUUCGAACCAUCGUCUACAAGACGUUUAUGCUCGCAGGAACCGUUAGAAACUAGCUUAACCGCUCAAAUUUGUCAUAGACAUUUGAAUGAUUGUGUUAUGUUAUAGUAAUAAUAAUUAGUCACCGAAGAUUAUAUAUAAAGUUCCUGUUUAAAUAUUUCAUCCGAAACAACAGAUAUGUGCAUCUAACGUGAGGAACAUGUUGUAAUGGAACGGAACAGCCAAAGAAGUGAAAACACCAUCCAAGUUUCAAUUUAUUUCAGGCAUAAGAUAAAGACAUAGUUACUUAAAAAAACAUAUAUAGUUGCAUAAUGAACCGAUAUAUAGUAAGGUACGAGUUUGCUUAUUUUAGUAUGCAUAUGUGUGCACUUAUUAGUUGCAGAUGGCACCACCAGGUAGUGGGGUCACACGAGGACAGAGGUUGCGGAGCUGAUCAAAUCUAACAGUGACGUUGAGAGUUAGGCCGAGAAGAUUGAUUCUAGCGGCAGUGCAGGCACAUGCAGACGCAAGAGCAUCAUUAUUAAGACUAGCUAAGAGAGUGCAACAUCGGUUCCCUCUGGGGUUGAUGAUAACGCCGAUGCCAAGUAUGUCGACGCAAACCUGGAGUUGGAGCCUGGUAAGAGGACACACCAGAGGUUGGGCCACCGGAGCUUGGGCUGAGGCAAAGCCCAUGAAGACGAGACUGGAGGCGAGGUAGAGAGCCAUGAUUGUCGUCAUGUUCUUUGAAUCCAUAUUGUGAAGAUGCUAAGUGAGAUUUUGGUGAUUAUAGUUGGGAGAGAUAUUAUUUGUAUUGGAGGUGAGGCCGUGAGGGUUUGUAUUUAUAAUGUUUAGAACCUUUAGUUAGUGACAUUAAAAUGUAACUAAGAGUUUUCUCUAACGUCUAGUUAAAGGUUAAUUGUGACAAUUACGGUUAAAUGGACCUAACGAUGAUCUAGAACUAGACUUCAUUCUAGAGGCAAAAAAGGUUUGGCAAGAAAAUUUAUGUUUGAACAAACACUAGGGUUACUAUGGAUUUUUGAAAAUUUAAUCAAAAUUACUAAGUAACAUUUUUAAGACAAACAUACUAGUUGAUUUGGAUUUUGCUGAAUAAUAUUACCUGCGUAUUUAGUUACUUGUAUAACAUUUUAGAUUGUGUGAAAUAUUUAGCAUGCGUCUUUUAACAAAGAAAAUUAUUUAGCGCGUGUGAAAUACUCUUAGAGCAUAUAAGAUAUAUAAUAUUGUGAAUGAUGAUUAUGUAUAGUAAACCUAACAGUGUAGAAAUGGCGGCUAGGGGUAGCUUAAAGCGUCUCAACAAUCAAUAGAAGGUUUGGCGAUGGAUAUAAUGGUAAACACAUGCCCAUUUUAAGUCAACCUCCAAAACCCACAAGGCCACAAACUAAGUUAAUCGGUCAACAAUCGCGUCGACCAUGAACAAUUGACGAUUUUUGUUAUUGAUUCAUAUUUUUUCUUUCAUAUAUAAAUUGCUUACUUCUUCGGAAGCAAACGGAUGUAAUAAAAAGAAACAACACUGGCGUUCAACCGUUGAAAUGGAAACCAUUGAACUAUGAUCAUUUAGCUAAUAACCUUCAUAGACUUCUUCUAUGAUAUAUGUGUGGAUAUUUUGAACUUCUAAUUUUGUUCUGUCAAAGUUUGUCUGAUUUUUUUUUUUUUUUUUUUUUUCGUUUUGGCCUUUUCUGUGUAUGUUUGGAGAGGAGUGUAGAGUAAUUAGUUUUUUUUUUCUUUCGUUUUUUUAGCUAAUGUGUUGGGUAAUUAGUUAUGGUGGCGAGCGCUUGUUUUUAUAGUCUUUUAGAACGUUUUUGUAGUUGGUAAAGGAUGUGAUUUGAGAAUUAUCUAGUUGACUAUACAUGUAGUUAAUGAACAAGAGUAACUUUUCCUACACAGAGCAAGAGUUGCAGCUCCUAAGCGAUGUUAGUUUCAAAUCUAAACCUCAAUCUAGUCAUCUAUAUAUAGAAGAGGUUUGGCAAGGAACCUUUUUUCAAGCCUCAAAAUUCUACAAAACUCACAAUUUUGUUAUUCCUACUAGAGACAUCUUUUUCUACUAUUCAUUUUAGAUAGGGCCAUAGAUAAUGUGGAUUAAUUUGGGCAUUUUCAAUUAAAAAAGAAAGAAUUGGUACUAGUAAUGGAAUUUACUAAUAGUUUAUGCUUUUAACACUAUUCUAUGUUGUUACAAGUUAAAUGGUAUUUUACAUUUUUUAUGUAUUAGUCAACUAUUACUCAAUUAAUCCUGAAAUUUAUGGUUAUUAUUAUUUUUAUAAUAAUAAUAAAGUACAAACAUUUAAGCAUUUUGCUAAUUUUCAAAAUACAAGUGUCAAGUGCACCAACUAUAUGUGUUAAAUAAGGUAUUUAAUAAUUACUGUAGUGUGAAACAUUCUAAUAAUAUAUUCAAUAUUUUUUAAAAAAAUUGUUAGGCGCUAACAACGUGCCAAAAAUGAAUAUUGGUAAUUAAGGUAUUUAAAAGAAGAAGAAGAAAAUUCAAAAUCCCUUGAUCUAAAACCGUGAGGGCCAAGGUAAUAUAGAGUGAAGCCCAUCCAUCUCCAAGCCUAACAUGAAGAGGUUUGGCAAUGGAACAAAGUGCAACAUAACCAUCGACGUGAACAUCUAAAACCCCUAUAAAUUUACACAUAACCUCAGUUCAUGUCAAAUCAACAAUAUCCGUACAGUANNNNNNNNNNNNNNNNNNNNNNNNNNNNNNNNNNNNNNNNNNNNNNNNNNNNNNNNNNNNNNNNNNNNNNNNNNNNNNNNNNNNNNNNNNNNNNNNNNNNUCAGUCUCUCUCCUAAUAUCAUCACACUCUGUAGGACUUGUGGCCGCAGGAUUCCCCCAGGUUUCACUUGCCCGUGAACACAUCCUCUCCCCAUAAGAAACUAAAAUUCUACUCAGUAUGCAUACACCCAAACCGUAACUAGCUCUCAUUAUAUAUAUAUAUAUAUAUAAGUCAUUAUAUAUAUAUAUAUAUAUAACUUUGUCACUCAUUAUAUAUAUAUAUAUAUAUAAGUCAUUAUAUAUAUAUAUAUAUAUAACUUUGUCACUUUUACUUUCUUCCAAUAAUUCAAUAAAACAUUAAUAAAGUUGUAGUGGCCUAUCCAUUGUGUUUUUUAUUUUUGUUCUUUGACCACACAAAACCAUUGGUGGUUAUAGAUAUCUCUAUGGAAGAAACCAUUAUAAACAACUUGAUACAUACGUAAACUCAAAUCGCAAACAAAAUGAUUUUAUAUUCUAAUGUCUUUCUCUCUUGAUCUCUGCUGCAAUAAAUCCUCACUACUCUUCUAUAUGGAGCACAUGAAUUUGCAACCUUAGAGACUGAAAGGACAAUCGGUAAUAAAAAACAAAAUAAUAAUCCAGGAUUAAUUUAGUUGGAUUAGCACAUGCAGUUUAUAAAUCCUCUGUGGGAUCUGGCCGUCGGCAUCCCUUACUUACUUGAAUUUUUUAGUUUUAGUUUUCGUUUUGCAAAGUUAAAUUCAAAUUAAUUUAUUUUUCUUAUUUAGAUAAAAAGGUACAAAUAAAUGUCGAUUUUGAUUUUUGAUAACUUAAUUUUGAUCUUAACCACAAAACUUAAUAUUUAGUUGAGUGGAUGAUACACAUAACACAAAUUACGUCCAUGAUACGUUAACCGUACGUGGGUUGCUUCUCGAAUAGAAGCUCUACAAAUAGGAAGACAAUUAAUGUCACUUAAUCUGUAUAUUUACACAUUUGUUUUUGUUAUAACGCAAACGGUGAAACAUACUUCCUCCGUUUUAAUAAGUGUUAUUCUGACACAUUUCACACAGAUUAAAAAAUUAAUAAAAUAUAUAAAUAUACACUUAAUUAAUAUACACUUAAUUAAUAUAUUUUUAUAACAUUUAAUUACAAAGAUUAUUAUCUUUAAAUGAUAGAUAAAACAGGAAAUAAUAGUAAAAAAUUACAUUGAAAAUGUAGAAUGACAUUCUUUUUAAAACAAAAAAUGAAAUCUAAAACAAUACUUAUUAUGAAACGGAAGAAUCAGUAGAUUUAUGAAAACAUUGUGUCUACUGAUUCCAAUGUUUUCUUUGAUUACUAUAAUCAAUACUAAUAUGUAUCGGUUGCAUGAAAUGAUUAUACAAAUCACAUUAAAAAUAAAAAUGAUAUUAAUAUCUGUAACGAACGACUAUAAUCAAUACUAGGCAUGGGCACGGGACGAAUACUUGCCAUUUUUGGUAUACUUGAUACUUGACUUGCCCCGUUCAAGUAUCAAGAUAUUUGUACUUGUACUUGACUUGUUAAUAUCAAGUACUUGCAAUUUCAAGUACUUGCCAAAUUUUUCAUUACUUGCAAGUUACUUGGCUUGUCCUCUUACUUGUAAAAGUACAAAUAGAAUACUAAAAAACCUAAAAUUUUGAGCCAUAUUUAAUUAAAACCUACGAUAAUAUUUAAUAUUUUGACCUUUAGAUUUUUGGAAAGCUUUAGAUAUUGAAGUCUGGCAACUUAUUUGUCUUUUGAUAAGCAGACUCUUCUUUCAUUUUUUGUGUUGUAAUCGAUGUGGAACAAAAUUAAAAAAAAAUCAGAGAUUAGAAACGAGUAACGGGUCAAUAAAACCAAGUAGUAACUUUUUUUUUAAUACUUGAUACUUGCCUUAUACUUACAAGUAAUCUUCUUAAUAUAUUUGAUACUCGACUUGAUCAAAACAAGUACUUGGUUUUACGGGACCAGUACAGGUCAAAUAACGAGUACGAAACGAGGAACGAGUACCAAGUAAUUGUGCCCAGUCCUAAUCAAUACUACUGAUUCCACAGAGUGUGUCAGUAUCAGUCACAAGGAGGAGGACGAGAUUGUCCUGGUUAAAGACGAAAGUACCCCCAAGAGUUGCCGGAUUGAUAUGGAAGAUGAUGACAAAUGAUUGACAAUGACACUUGCGCGCGGAAUGUAUUUCUACUGCACAGGAUGAUGAAGAGUGGUCGGCUUUGGAUGGAUUGACCAGGGUUAACAGUCUCUUGAGCAUUCCAAGGUUCUUCUCUGGUGAGCUAAGAUCAAAUAGUUGGAGAAAAUGGUUUUGAUUUUUUUUUUCUUUCUUUGACUUGUGUGAUCGCGAACAAAAACACUUGAUACUAUCACCAAGUUCUUUGUUUUCAUAUUCAACUUUUUCUUCUACUUUUUUUUUUGGAAUUUCUUUGCAUAUAUAUAAUGUUUUUCUCUUGUGUUUCUAUAACAUGUCAAACUGUUCACAGUACAGAUAUAAUUCAUCAAAGAAAGUUUUGUCUAUAUCGACCAAGAAACUAUUGAUAUCGGAUACUUUCAUCCUUCUCUGUUCUUCAUUACUUUGAUUUGUAGAAGUGAAAAAGAAAUGAUCUUUCAAUACUAAUUAUGUAUUUUUAAUUUAUUAUGUCAUCGUACAUAUUUUUAAUAAAUUUAUGAUCAUUAUUACAAUUUAAAAUUUUAUUACUUAAAUAACUAAUUAUUGUUACUAUAUAAUUUUACUUAAGUAUACAGUUAAAACAUAUAAUUUUAUUUAAGUAUAAAAUAGAAGCAUCCUUUUUUUUUUGACAUCAAAUAGAAGCAUCCUAAUUGAGAAAUUUCGUUCAUAAAUAAAAAAGUUGUACUCUAAAAUUGGAAAAAUGAAUAGCAUAACUCCAAAAUUAUUAUUAUUCUUUUUUAAUGGAGAUGAUUUGAGUUUUUGGGGUUGUGGCAAGACCUACUUAUUAUUGAACUAUUUUGGUAAUUGUCAAUAUUGUGUACUAAUUUUAUUUUAUUUUUAGUGGUGAUAAUUUGAUUGGUUUUUAUUUUAGCGCCUAACCAUAUUCUUUUUUUCCACUAACUUAGUAAAACUCUCUUCCUUCCAUAUAUUUUACUUGGUUGAUGACUAUUUAUAACUUUAGCUAACGUUAUAAAUAGACUAUCUAAUAAUAAGUAAAUGUAAAACGUUUUCUAAUAUCCACACGUAAUUAUUAUAUAAGUACACACAACACUGAUGAGUUUAUUACUUUAAAAAUUUUAUCUUCUAUAAUAAUAAAAAAAAAAAACACAAAAUGAAUCAGAUCAUAGUUCUGCUCAUAGUUAUAGCUAUGCAUUUUGGGUUGAAUGAAAGUUGUCCAGACCAUCGUGUGGUGAUUACUAACCAACUCGGUAAAGGUCGUGCUCUCCAAUAUCGUUGCACUGGCUCACAUGAUGGCUCGAAUACUGGUAUCCGAACUUUAGCCAAGUUCAAUCAGAGUUAUCAAUUUCUGUUUCGCGAUUGGCCGACUAGUUGGACUGAUGAGCAAAAUAGAUCACGUUUUGUCUGUGAUUUAAGCUGGGGACCUCAAAAUGAGAACCGUGCUGAUAAUAUUGAAGUAUACCGAGCAGCCAUGAAUCGUAGAUGUGGCCUGCUACGUCAGUAUAUUGCCAGGGAAGAUGGCUUUUAUUAUAGAAGCGCAUAUAACGUACCAGUAGGGUGGGUUCGCGGUUGGACCAAAAAGUAAGAGCAUCAUUAUCCCUACCACCCAUUAAGAGUUUUUUAAGAGUUUUUUAUUAUUAAAAUUAGAUUAAGAAACCUUCUUAAAAAAUAUUAUGAUUGUAAUGGUACAUUGCUAAUACCCUAAUGGGUUUCUUAUAUAAUUUUUUUUUAAAGUAAACAUAGUUAUUUAAUUAUAACAUUCAAAAGAAAUACACAACUCACACAUACAAAUUUUAUUUGUAAACAUAAUUAAAACAAAGUAAAAGCUCAAUAAUCGUCUUGGCUAUCUCCAAAUUUUUGCCAUAUAUGCUCAACCAAAUCCGACUUCAAUUGGUGAUGCACUUGUGGAUUCCGAACUCUUUUUCGAGUAUCCAUCAUAUUAGUAAUGUUUGAUGGCAUAUCGGUUGAGAACGUGUCAUCCACAUUUCUAUUUUCAUUUUCUUCUCCUUGUUGGAAGUCUGAAACAUCAAGCAGAUUAUAUCUAUCUCUUUCGUCUUCUACUAUCAUAUUGUGUAAUAUGAUACAAGCUCUCAUAAUCUUUCCUAUUUUUGCCUUAUCCCAAAAAAGAGCUGGGUUUUUAACAAUAGCAAAUCGAGCUUGUAAGACUCCAAAAGCACGUUCCACAUCUUUUCGGAUACAAUUUGUGGUGUCAAAUAAAAGUAAGAAAGUUACAAAGUCAUGUGGUGUCAAAUUAAAAAUAAGAAAGUUAAAAAGAUACAAAGCUGGUGUCCAUGUUCUUCUCUCCUUUCGCUCUGCAGCCGGCUCUUCACCAAGGCUCAUAGCUGUUCCACAGAAGACGCUGUCCUGCUGACUGUUUAGGAGAUCGACGAAGUUUGAAGGCUGAGAGUAAGGAGUCGAAGAGAAAUCCAUAGAAAAAAUAGACAAGAGAAUGAACGAGGAAAGGGAAGGAGAAGAAUGAACGAGUAGGAGGAGAGAAACAAAAUGAUAAGAAGGAAAGAGAACUAGAUGAUGCAACGAGAAGAAGGAGAAGAACUAGGAAAGAAACCAAUAGAAUGAACAAGGAAAAGAUUCAUGAAGCACCUCGCAGAUAUAGGGAGUGAAGGACAACCGAUUAAAUGGAGAAGAAGAACCAUUCUUAAUGGUUCUCCAUUGAUUACUAACCAUUAUAAAAACCCUUUCUAACCACAUAGAAAAGACAUGUACCUAACACUAAUAUAGCAUUCAUCAAGCAACCAUUAAUGACUAACCAUAACUUUGCAUUUAUCUACCAUUAUCUAACACUAACUUUUCAUUUAUUACCAACUUAAAAGGUUUGAAGACUAACCUGAAGAGAUGCAAUGACAAGACGAGAUGGUAGAUGUGAUGCGGAACCACCGUUAUCAUCUCCUUUCUCUGCAUUAAAAAAAAGACACACCAUUAGCCAUUACUGAAAACAAAACAGAGUAAAUAGAAAAACCCAAAACCUGAAUCACAACUAGUAAAGAAACUAGCAAACACUUGAACUCUGAAUCACAAAAACUAAAAAACCUAUAAACUCAAAACAACUAGUACAUAAACUAGCAAACAAUUGAUGUUUACAUACUCGAUCAAUUCUACAUUUCGAUUAACAAUAACUCCAUUGACAACUUUACAUAUUUCCUAAACCUGCAUCACAAAAUAUCAACAAGACACUCUAAAUUUGUCAAUGAAAACAGCAUUUAAACCCAUCGAUUACAUAAAUAAAUUCAUAAAAUGAGUUCACACAAUCCAUCAAUUACAUAAUGUUAUCAUCGAUCCCUAACUCAGUCGACGCUUAAAUAGGAGAAAAAUUCAUAAUCAAAACGAUCUAAAAGCUCCAAUAAACUAUUCUAGAAAGCAAAUCGAAGGUAAAUCGGAAAUAUCAAAUAACUAGAGGGGAUGAUUUUGUUACCUCGGAGAUAACGAAGAAAGUGAUCGGGAUAAAGGGAAAAGAGAAGCCCAGGCGUCGUAGGCGUCUCCACCCGGAGGAGACAGGCCUCUCGCCGGAUAUUUCGCCGGAGAUGAUGACGAUCACUCGAUGAAGACGAUUUCGUACUCAGUUUUUUUGAUGCAUCAAGGGUUGGUGCAAAGAAGAGGAAAUGGUCGAGACUUGGAUUUUUUUUAGCCGAAAAAUGAAAUUUUAGCCGAGAAUUUUUUUGUGG